This 253-nucleotide ribosomal RNA is filed under the name uncultured bacterium. RNAcentral's name for it is "partial 16S ribosomal RNA". It matches the Rfam family "Bacterial small subunit ribosomal RNA", at positions 524 to 776 of the family's 1533-position model. The record is from RNAcentral.
UACGUAGGGUGCAAGCGUUAUCCGGAAUUAUUGGGCGUAAAGAGCUCGUAGGCGGUUUGUCGCGUCUGCUGUGAAAACCGGAGGCUCAACCUCCGGCCUGCAGUGGGUACGGGCAAACUAGAGUGCGGUAGGGGAGAUUGGAAUUCCUGGUGUAGCGGUGGAAUGCGCAGAUAUCAGGAGGAACACCGAUGGCGAAGGCAGGUCACUGGGCCGCAACUGACGCUGAGGAGCGAAAGCAUGGGGAGCGAACAGG